UAAGGUACCGUCAGGUCCAGGGCAUUACCUCCCCGAACGUUUCUUCCCUCAGAAAAGAGCUUUACGACCCAAGGCCUUCAUCACUCACGCGGCAUGGCUGCGUCAGGCUUUCGCCCAUUGCGCAGUAUUCCCU
RNAcentral lists this ribosomal RNA (133 nucleotides) under uncultured bacterium. RNAcentral describes it as "partial 16S ribosomal RNA". The record is from RNAcentral.